This 2992-nucleotide ribosomal RNA is filed under the name Salmonella enterica subsp. enterica serovar Typhimurium. Its description in RNAcentral is "23S ribosomal RNA". It matches the Rfam family "Bacterial large subunit ribosomal RNA". Lineage: Bacteria; Pseudomonadati; Pseudomonadota; Gammaproteobacteria; Enterobacterales; Enterobacteriaceae. The record is from RNAcentral.
GGUUAAGCGACUAAGCGUACACGGUGGAUGCCCUGGCAGUCAGAGGCGAUGAAGGGCGUGCUAAUCUGCGAUAAGCGCCGGUAAGGUGAUAUGAACCGUUAUAACCGGCGAUACCCGAAUGGGGAAACCCAGUGUGAUUCGUCACACUAUCAUUAACUGAAUCCAUAGGUUAAUGAGGCGAACCGGGGGAACUGAAACAUCUAAGUACCCCGAGGAAAAGAAAUCAACCGAGAUUCCCCCAGUAGCGGCGAGCGAACGGGGAGGAGCCCAGAGCCUGAAUCAGCAUGUGUGUUAGUGGAAGCGUCUGGAAAGGCGCGCGAUACAGGGUGACAGCCCCGUACACAAAAGCGCAUGUGCUGUGAGCUCGAUGAGUAGGGCGGGACACGUGGUAUCCUGUCUGAAUAUGGGGGGACCAUCCUCCAAGGCUAAAUACUCCUGACUGACCGAUAGUGAACCAGUACCGUGAGGGAAAGGCGAAAAGAACCCCGGCGAGGGGAGUGAAAAAGAACCUGAAACCGUGUACGUACAAGCAGUGGGAGCACAGGUUUACCUGUGUGACUGCGUACCUUUUGUAUAAUGGGUCAGCGACUUAUAUUCUGUAGCAAGGUUAACCGUAUAGGGGAGCCGUAGGGAAACCGAGUCUUAACCGGGCGUUAAGUUGCAGGGUAUAGACCCGAAACCCGGUGAUCUAGCCAUGGGCAGGUUGAAGGUUGGGUAACACUAACUGGAGGACCGAACCGACUAAUGUUGAAAAAUUAGCGGAUGACCUGUGGCUGGGGGUGAAAGGCCAAUCAAACCGGGAGAUAGCUGGUUCUCCCCGAAAGCUAUUUAGGUAGCGCCUCGUGAAUUCAUCUCCGGGGGUAGAGCACUGUUUCGGCUAGGGGGCCAUCCCGGCUUACCAACCCGAUGCAAACUGCGAAUACCGGAGAAUGUUAUCACGGGAGACACACGGCGGGUGCUAACGUCCGUCGUGAAGAGGGAAACAACCCAGACCGCCAGCUAAGGUCCCAAAGUCAUGGUUAAGUGGGAAACGAUGUGGGAAGGCCCAGACAGCCAGGAUGUUGGCUUAGAAGCAGCCAUCAUUUAAAGAAAGCGUAAUAGCUCACUGGUCGAGUCGGCCUGCGCGGAAGAUGUAACGGGGCUAAACCAUGCACCGAAGCUGCGGCAGCGAACGUAUCACCCAAGACAACUUUACGGAGUUGACGAUUGACGGAGCGAAGCGACGUCAAAGCGUUCAUUAAAGUCGAGUUGGCUUAGGGAUACGUUCGUUGGGUAGGGGAGCGUUCUGUAAGCCUGUGAAGGUGUGUCGUGAGGCAUGCUGGAGGUAUCAGAAGUGCGAAUGCUGACAUAAGUAACGAUAAAGCGGGUGAAAAGCCCGCUCGCCGGAAGACCAAGGGUUCCUGUCCAACGUUAAUCGGGGCAGGGUGAGUCGACCCCUAAGGCGAGGCCGAAAGGCGUAGUCGAUGGGAAACGGGUUAAUAUUCCCGUACUUGGUGUUACUGCGAAGGGGGGACGGAGAAGGCUAUGUUGGCCGGGCGACGGUUGUCCCGGUUUAAGCGUGUAGGUGUGUGUUCCAGGUAAAUCCGGUUCACUUUAACACUGAGGCGUGAUGACGAGGCACUACGGUGCUGAAGCAACAAAUGCCCUGCUUCCAGGAAAAGCCUCUAAGCAUCAGGUAACAUCAAAUCGUACCCCAAACCGACACAGGUGGUCAGGUAGAGAAUACCAAGGCGCUUGAGAGAACUCGGGUGAAGGAACUAGGCAAAAUGGUGCCGUAACUUCGGGAGAAGGCACGCUGACACGUAGGUGAAGUGAUUUACUCACGGAGCUGAAGUCAGUCGAAGAUACCAGCUGGCUGCAACUGUUUAUUAAAAACACAGCACUGUGCAAACACGAAAGUGGACGUAUACGGUGUGACGCCUGCCCGGUGCCGGAAGGUUAAUUGAUGGGGUCAGCGCAAGCGAAGCUCCUGAUCGAAGCCCCGGUAAACGGCGGCCGUAACUAUAACGGUCCUAAGGUAGCGAAAUUCCUUGUCGGGUAAGUUCCGACCUGCACGAAUGGCGUAAUGAUGGCCAGGCUGUCUCCACCCGAGACUCAGUGAAAUUGAACUCGCUGUGAAGAUGCAGUGUACCCGCGGCAAGACGGAAAGACCCCGUGAACCUUUACUAUAGCUUGACACUGAACAUUGAGCCUUGAUGUGUAGGAUAGGUGGGAGGCUUUGAAGUGUGGACGCCAGUCUGCAUGGAGCCGACCUUGAAAUACCACCCUUUAAUGUUUGAUGUUCUAACGUGGACCCGUAAUCCGGGUUGCGGACAGUGUCUGGUGGGUAGUUUGACUGGGGCGGUCUCCUCCUAAAGAGUAACGGAGGAGCACGAAGGUUGGCUAAUCCUGGUCGGACAUCAGGAGGUUAGUGCAAUGGCAUAAGCCAGCUUGACUGCGAGCGUGACGGCGCGAGCAGGUGCGAAAGCAGGUCAUAGUGAUCCGGUGGUUCUGAAUGGAAGGGCCAUCGCUCAACGGAUAAAAGGUACUCCGGGGAUAACAGGCUGAUACCGCCCAAGAGUUCAUAUCGACGGCGGUGUUUGGCACCUCGAUGUCGGCUCAUCACAUCCUGGGGCUGAAGUAGGUCCCAAGGGUAUGGCUGUUCGCCAUUUAAAGUGGUACGCGAGCUGGGUUUAGAACGUCGUGAGACAGUUCGGUCCCUAUCUGCCGUGGGCGCUGGAGAACUGAGGGGGGCUGCUCCUAGUACGAGAGGACCGGAGUGGACGCAUCACUGGUGUUCGGGUUGUCAUGCCAAUGGCACUGCCCGGUAGCUAAAUGCGGAAGAGAUAAGUGCUGAAAGCAUCUAAGCACGAAACUUGCCCCGAGAUGAGUUCUCCCUGAGACUUUAGGUCUCCUGAAGGAACGUUGAAGACGACGACGUUGAUAGGCCGGGUGUGUAAGCGCAGCGAUGCGUUGAGCUAACCGGUACUAAUGAACCGUGAGGCUUAACCUU